RNAcentral lists this transfer RNA (76 nucleotides) under Marinobacter flavimaris. RNAcentral describes it as "tRNA-Ala". It matches the Rfam family "tRNA". Rfam says of the family: Transfer RNA (tRNA) molecules are approximately 80 nucleotides in length. Their secondary structure includes four short double-helical elements and three loops (D, anti-codon, and T loops). Further hydrogen bonds mediate the characteristic L-shaped molecular structure. tRNAs have two regions of fundamental functional importance: the anti-codon, which is responsible for specific mRNA codon recognition, and the 3' end, to which the tRNAs corresponding amino acid is attached (by aminoacyl-tRNA synthetases). tRNAs cope with the degeneracy of the genetic code in two manners: having more than one tRNA (with a specific anti-codon) for a particular amino acid; and 'wobble' base-pairing, i.e. permitting non-standard base-pairing at the 3rd anti-codon position. Lineage: Bacteria; Pseudomonadati; Pseudomonadota; Gammaproteobacteria; Pseudomonadales; Marinobacteraceae. The record is from RNAcentral. RNAcentral also lists the same sequence under 1 other name.
GGGGCUAUAGCUCAGCUGGGAGAGCGCCUGCCUUGCACGCAGGAGGUCGGCGGUUCGAUCCCGCCUGGCUCCACCA